GGAACUGGAAAUUCCAAUGCGCUUUCGCUGUCCUUGAGUUUUGAAUCGUCCCUUCAAUCUGUCAACAAAAGUUGGACCAGCCUCAACGAAGUCAAAAGUAUCUGUGCAAUCAAGGAAGGAAAGAAGGACUGUUUCGCAACCACCAUUGGCUCUACAAAAGGUUUCAAAGCUUCCAGGUUUGGCUGGUUUUUUGAGUCAUGCCCUGGCUGCAGAGCUUCCAACAAGUCACAAGGUGAAACUUUUGAAUGUGCAUGCGGAAUUACCAAUGUCGAACCCGUAACCAAAUUCAAAGUUGAAGUUGAGCUUGAGUAUGAUAACUACAAAGGUACCUUUGUUUUUUGGGACAAGGACGUUAUCCCUUACACGAAAUUGAGUGCAAAGGAGUUACAAGAAGUUAUGAAGAAGCAAUAACAGUCUGCACAGAAACGAUCAUAUCUGGAGUUCCAGGAGUCCGAUUGAGGCGUUCUAAUAAUCGCCGGAAAGCUAAGAGAAAGAGCUACAAUUCUUAUGUUUGAGUCAAAGUCAGAAUCGGACUGUAGAAGGGCCAGAAUAUGCGUUGAAGUUGCUGCACUAGCUUUAGUUAAGUUUCGGGUUAAUUGGUUUUGGGUCUGGGUCGUAUGUUUGACCCAGUUGGAUUGUAAAACGGGUUGUGGCUUUGACUUAGGUUAGGCAGCCGCGGUUACUGUUCAUCUAUCAUGUUGUGAAAAACGAUACCAAUAACAAAGUAUAAUAGGGAAU
Long non-coding RNA from Vicia villosa (hairy vetch), 738 nucleotides. RefSeq lists it as uncharacterized. The record is from RefSeq and is a predicted model, not a curated record. Lineage: Eukaryota; Viridiplantae; Streptophyta; Magnoliopsida; Fabales; Fabaceae. The transcript has 4 exons.